ACGGAAGACGGGGAUUAUCAGGUCAAGCUACGCAACCUGAUACGGUUCCUUAAUCAUGGUGACAAAGUCAAGAUUACGCUGCGUUUUCGCGGUCGUGAAAUGGCCCAUCAGGACAUUGGUAUGAAAAUCAUGGAGCGCCUCAUGCAAGAUACAGCAGAACAUGCUGUGGUUGAGCAACAGGCUAAACGUGAAGGCCGCCAAUUAGUUAUGGUCUUGUCGCCUAAGAAAAAAGGCUAAUUACUGGAUAUUUCUCGUAAGCUCUGUAACUCCAUAGUCAAAAGGCAGGUUGCAGGGUUUUAACAGUCUGA
Molecule: unclassified non-coding RNA, 308 nt
Filed under: Legionella quinlivanii DSM 21216
Lineage: Bacteria; Pseudomonadati; Pseudomonadota; Gammaproteobacteria; Legionellales; Legionellaceae
Description: Long range pseudoknot
Source: RNAcentral